GACGAACGCUGGCGGCGUGCUUAACACAUGCAAGUCGAACGGAAAGGCCCCUUUGGGGGUACUCGAGUGGCGAACGGGUGAGUAACACGUGAGUAACCUGCCCUUGACUUCGGGAUAACUUCAGGAAACUGGGGCUAAUACCGGAUAGGAAUCCUUGCUGCAUGGUGGGGGUUGGAAAGCUUCGGCGGUUUUGGAUGGACUCGCGGCUUAUCAGCUUGUUGGUGGGGUAGUGGCUUACCAAGGCUUUGACGGGUAGCCGGCCUGAGAGGGCGACCGGCCACAGUGGGACUGAGACACGGCCCAGACUCCGACGGGAGGCAGCAGUGGGGAAGAUUGAACAAAGGGCGGAAGCCGGAUGCAGCAACGCCGCGUGCGGGAUGACGGCCUUCGGGUUGGAAACCGCAUUCAGCAGGGGCGAAGCUUGUGGUGACGGUACCUGCAGAAGAAGCACCGGCUAACUACGUG
This 465-nucleotide ribosomal RNA is filed under the name uncultured bacterium. RNAcentral's name for it is "partial 16S ribosomal RNA". It matches the Rfam family "Bacterial small subunit ribosomal RNA", at positions 28 to 507 of the family's 1533-position model. The record is from RNAcentral.